UGGCCUACCAAGGCGACGACGGGUAGCUGGUCUGAGAGGAUGGCCAGCCACAUUGGGACUGAGAAACGGCCCAGACUCCUACGGGAGGCAGCAGUGGGGAAUCUUGCGCAAUGGCCGAGAGGCUGACGCAGCGACGCCGCGUGGGGGAUGAAGCAUUUCGGUGUGUAAACCCCUGUUGCUCGGGACGAACGACCGGUUUCGACCGGUGUGACGGUACCGAGUGAGGAAGCACCGGCUAACUCCGUGCCAGCAGCCGCGGUAAUACGGAGGGUGCGAGCGUUGUCCGGAAUCACUGGGCGUAAAGGGCGCGUAGGUGGUUGGAUGCGCCGGUGGUGAAAGCGCAGGGCUCAACCCUGCGUCGGCCAUCGGGACGGUCCGACUGGAGCACUGUAGAGGCAGGUGGAAUUCCGGGUGUAGCGGUGGAAUGCGUAGAGAUCCGGAAGAACACCGGUGGCGAAGGCGGCCUGCUGGGCAGUUGCUGACACUGAGGCGCGACAGCGUGGGGAGCAAACAGGAUUAGAUACCCUGGUAGUCCACGCCGUAAACGAUGGGCACUAGGUGCUUGGGGGAGCGACCCCCUGAGUGCCGACGCUAACGCAUUAAGUG
Molecule: ribosomal RNA, 606 nt
Filed under: uncultured bacterium
Lineage: Bacteria
Description: bacterial SSU rRNA
Rfam family: Bacterial small subunit ribosomal RNA
Source: RNAcentral